AAGUUUGGCUCUGACUUGAUAAUAUGGCAGGAACUCAGAAAUACACAUGGUUUUUAUAGAGAGAGGCGAGGUAAGAGAUAGUAUGCUUAUAACAAAAAGUUAUAAAGUAAUAUCUUUUUAGGUAUUAUUAAAUUUCAUGAUGCCUUGAAAAGUCCCGCUAACACCAGUGCUGAAGGUUAAGAAAAAGACGAAAGUCUGUCUUAACUUAGUUCAUAAGAUUUGGUCAAUUUGGUGCCAGCAUCCGCGGUUAUACCAAGAAAUCAAGUUAUGUCGUUUGGUAAAAAGACGGUUAGAUAUUAAUUUUUUUGUCUAUUAAUUAUUUAUAUAAAGGUAGAAUUUGAAUAUAAAUAUAUAAACUAUACAUGACUUAAAAAAUUGAGUCCGUGAAAGCCUUGAGGGAAACUGGGAUUAGAUACCCCAUUAUUCUUGGCUAUAAAAUUAAGAAAAUUUACCAGAGUACUACGAACUUAGUAAAAUUUAAAACUCAAAGGGCUUGGCGGUGUUUUAGACCACUCAGGGGAACCUGUCUCGUAAUCGAUAAUCCACGGUAGACCUAACCCUGUUUUGCACUCAGUUUGUAUACCGUUGUCGUCAGGUAACUUUCAAAAAAUAAGAAGUUAGCGACUAAAAUAACUAUAUAAAUUAAGACGUCAAAUCAAGGUGCAGCUUACAGCAGGGGGAGGAUGGGUUACAAUUAUAGAUUUAUAAAGACGGAGAACACAUCGAACAGUGUAUUUGAAGGAGGACUUGAAAGUAAAAUAAAAUACAUAAACAAUUUGAAUAGGGCUCUGAAACGUGCACACAUCGCCCGUCACUCUCGUUGAAAAAUGAGAUAAGUCGUAACAUAGCAGGGGUAAUGGAAAUUGUUCCUAGAUGA
Molecule: non-coding RNA, 877 nt
Filed under: Babylonia borneensis
Lineage: Eukaryota; Metazoa; Mollusca; Gastropoda; Neogastropoda; Buccinidae
Description: small subunit ribosomal RNA
Rfam family: Microsporidia small subunit ribosomal RNA (bases 455-872)
Source: RNAcentral